UCAGUGCCAGUUCGUCUGUUUUUCCCGCUGUUUAGUGCUCCUGGUGUUUUGAUCCCAGCAAGUUCAUCCGGCCUCAUCUUUGCCAUUUCCCUACCGGAUAUGUUUGCGUCUUCCUCUGACUGCUUACCUGUCUACUGAAACCUGUUUGUCAAACCAGAGGAUCUUUUUUUCUCAUUCCCUCAAAGUCAUUCCUCAUGCCGUCUGGCAAACUCCAAGUGGGCUGUCAUAAGCCUGCUACUUAAAGUGGCUUCCGUUUAGGCGGACUCCGAUCAAGUCGAGUUCUACAGAUCUCAAGGAUAAUCAAAGAAAAGCGGAUGCUCCUGACCACAAAAGUUAAAGACCGGGCAGGAUACCCAAAGCUGGUGGUUAUCUCAGAACUACAUACUCACCGAGCUCUGAACAACAAAGUGAGCCUCCCAAAGCCCAGCAUCUCCAUGAACCCUGUGGAGGAGGUUAACUGGGGUCAGGAUGUCGGGAUCCCUUGUUCAGACUCAGCUGAGCUUUUAGGUGGAACAUUCAUUCUGAAGAAGACUUCAGGCUCAUUCAGAAAGACUCAAACGUCAUGUUCCAACUCUGCUGCAUUCAGUGUCCCUAAAGCGAAAGUUGAUAAUGAAGGAUCAUAUUAGUGUCAGUAUGAGAAAAGCAGGUUUUUCAAACAGCAAAAGUAAUGUGAUGUUUUGAUUUUUUUUAACAUGUAAGUCCAGCUUGUUUCUUUGAAAACUAUUUCAGUGUUUUUCAAGUAAGGCCUCUCUUUAAACCUACACUUAGCUUCUUGUACUAACAAAAUAGUAUCAAAUAGUUAAAGAAUAGUUUCACUUUUGGAAAGUAAACCUUUCACUUUCUUAGAGUUAGAGGAGAAAAUUGAUUCCGCUCGGACUUCUUUAAGGUAAAGAUGAAGCCAGUGCCAGCUGUUGGUUAGCUUUGCAGAAAGGGUUUUGUUUCCUUUGGUUCCUUUGCACAGAGCCAGGGUACCGUAGCAGAUUUUUCCCAUUUCCGGUAUUUGUGCUAAGCUAAGCUAACCUGCUGCCGGUCCCAGCUUCGUAUUAACCGUACAGACAUGAGAGUGAUAUUCCAAUCUAACUCUCAAGAAAGCCAAAAAGCGUAUUUUCCCAAAAUGCUGAACUAUUCCUUCCAGUGUUAUUGACAACAUAAUUAUUUGAUGCAACGAUCAGUGUGUGUAAUUUUUAAUGAGAAUAAAAUACAACAAAAAUAUCAUAAAACACAACACAUUAUAGAAUACAACAAACCAUCGUUCCGCACCUACACACACAGCAUGACCAUGGGGUGACGAAAGCCGGAUGGUCAUAGACAACCAUUAAUAAUGACCAAACUGAGAUGGGUGGUGUAAUAAUAACCCAGUAAUUUAAAGCUGAGGAAAAGGCAGCCACCUUGACUCUUCCUUUCUAUUUCUGUCCCUGGGUCCCCUUGUUCACUGACACACUUUAUAUUUGCAGUUACCCUUCUGAUGACUCAAGGUUGACCAUCUGCCAGUCGAUGAUGUCUUAAUCCAUCCACCGUCAAGCCAAGUCUGUUGCGCUUACCAUAAGCAGAUAAUGCAGUCCAUUACAGCAAAACCACAAAGCCUAGAAAUUACAAGAGAGUUGGACCAGUGCCUCUGUUUCACUGUUUCAGUAAAUCUUCGAUACCGACACCACCGACAAAAUGUUUAACUGAAUAACACACAAAAACUUAACACAAACAAUAACCAAGAUAUAAGAUAAUCUGGUGUUUUUUUCUCAGCACACUGUUACAAGCAGAACUGGGAGAGACCAAAUUGAGGCAACUGUUGUCAGCCAAUCACUUGUGAGCCAGUUCACUGUUUGAGCCAAUGAUGUGAAAGCAGGUUUACAAUAUGACGCCUUGGCAGCCACAAAUAGAUAUGACACAGGCUCCUUGUAAUGUCAGCACGCUAGCUUCACACACACGCACACAC
Molecule: long non-coding RNA, 1933 nt
Organism: Xiphias gladius (swordfish)
Lineage: Eukaryota; Metazoa; Chordata; Actinopteri; Istiophoriformes; Xiphiidae
Exons: 5
Source: RefSeq, a predicted model, not a curated record